CCCACACAUUAACAAACAACUGAGUCUUUGGUGGAAUCUCAUAGCCCCAUAUAUUGCAGUUUUCAGACGAUUCUCUAACAAUUAAUGGACCUGUGGGGUGAAUCCUCAGCGUUUCUUUGACUAUAGCUUGUAGGAAGUAGCUGAGUUAACGUGGAACCCCCCAGAAGUUCAGACAUGCAUAUUUUCUUCAUGAACUUCCAAUAAGGUCCAUAUGGCGCAAAGGAGAAGUCCUGGGAGCCGUAUGUCAGAAAAUCAACUGCAGAACUUUGCGGGCGGUUGGAGAAACGGGUUUCGUGAGUUUUUAGGAAUUCUCUGGCAGCUUCUGGCGUGGAAGCGACGACACAAGGGACGGAGCCAAGGAAAAGGUGCAUUAUGGGACCAUAGCGAGUAGAGAGCUUGUGAAGAGCCUGGUGAGGUAUUGGAGCCAGAAGGUGGAGAUGUCCAAUGAUGGGUAAGGCUCGUGGACUUGGUGGUCUAUUAUUAGUCUUGUUUUGUUUUCUGCUGAGUAUGGCUCGAACCACGAAUGUGGAGACUAAAAAUGUGAUGAAAAGAAGGAUGUAGUCUUGGUAAUCAGCCAUGUUUGAUUUGAAUGUUUCGCAGGUAAGUGAAAUAUACUAGUUAGCAACGUAUAUAAGGAAAAUAUGAUGCUUAAUUUGUAGUUUAUGUUUGCUGCUGUUAUCUGUUUUCGAAAUGGACAUUUAUAUGUCGCUGGCCGGCAUCGUGUCAGUUCUCAGACAAAGACAUCGUGAAUUUGUGACCAAGUCCAGCCUCAAAUAAAAAUGUCACCUGGUGGGUUGUCUUUGUCUGCAAAGAAAGUUCCUUUCUUCGAGACAUCGUUGCUUUCCAUUUAUAUUUCAACAUAUACUGCAGCUGACGUACUUUUUAAAAGUGACUGAUAUAGUUUUAACUUUCUGAGAAUUCUGUAUGCUUUCAUUUUCUUGCACCUAUCUUUUAUCAGCUUAGCUUGAAACUGAAUACUAUGAUGCUUGACAGAUUUAUUAA
Non-coding RNA from Vigna umbellata (rice bean), 1002 nucleotides. NCBI's taxonomy places the organism in Eukaryota, Viridiplantae, Streptophyta, Magnoliopsida, Fabales, Fabaceae. The record is from RefSeq and is a predicted model, not a curated record.